AUUGAACGCUGGCGGCAGGCUUAACACAUGCAAGUCGAGCGGGGUGAUGGUGCUUGCACUAUCACUUAGCGGCGGACGGGUGAGUAAUGCUUAGGAAUCUGCCUAUUAGUGGGGGACAACAUCUCGAAAGGGAUGCUAAUACCGCAUACGUCCUACGGGAGAAAGCAGGGGAUCACUGGUGACCUUGCGCUAAUAGAUGAGCCUAAGUCGGAUUAGCUAGUUGGUGGGGUAAAGGCCUACCAAGGCGACGAUCUGUAGCGGGUCUGAGAGGAUGAUCCGCCACACUGGGACUGAGACACGGCCAAGACUCCUACGGGAGGCAGCAGUGGGGAAUAUUGGACAAUGGGGGGGAACCCUGAUCCAGCCAUGCCGCGUGUGUGAAGAAGGCCUUAUGGUUGUAAAGCACUUUAAGCGAGGAGGAGGCUCUUUUGGUUAAUACCCAAGAUGAGUGGACGUUACUCGCAGAAUAAGCACCGGCUAACUCUGUGCCAGCAGCCGCAGUAA
Molecule: ribosomal RNA, 504 nt
Filed under: uncultured bacterium
Lineage: Bacteria
Description: partial 16S ribosomal RNA
Rfam family: Bacterial small subunit ribosomal RNA
Source: RNAcentral